UCGGGGAGGGUUCAUUUGGAAAACUGGGGAACUUUGAGUUGCAGAAGAGGAGAGUUGGAAUUUCCACGUUGUAGCGGUGAAAUUGCGUAGAGAUGUGGAGGAACACCAGUGGCGAAGGCGACUCUCUGGUCUGUAACUGACGCUGAGGAGCGAAAGCGUGGGGAGCGAACAGGAUUAGAUACCCUGGUAGUCCACGCCGUAAACGAUGAGUGCUAAGUGUUAGGGGGUUUCCGCCCCUUAGUGCUGCAGCUAACGCAUUAAGCACUCCGCCUGGGGAGUACGGUCGCAAGACUGAAACUCAAAGGAAUUGACGGGGGCCCGCACAAGCGGUGGAGCAUGUGGUUUAAUUCGAAGCAACGCGAAGAACCUUACCAGGUCUUGACAUCCUCUGACAAUCCUAGAGAUAGGACGUCCCCUUCGGGGGCAGAGUGACAGGUGGUGCAUGGUUGUCGUCAGCUCGUGUCGUGAGAUGUUGGGUUAAGUCCCGCAACGAGCGCAACCCUUGAUCUUAGUUGCCAGCAUUCAGUUGGGCACUCUAAGGUGACUGCCGGUGACAAACCGGAGGAAGGUGGGGAUGACGUCAAAUCAUCAUGCCCCUUAUGACCUGGGCUACACACGUGCUACAAUGGAC
Molecule: ribosomal RNA, 631 nt
Filed under: bacterium p8_G05
Lineage: Bacteria
Description: bacterial SSU rRNA
Rfam family: Bacterial small subunit ribosomal RNA
Source: RNAcentral